AUGGAUUUCCUUCGGGAUUGAAGCCUAGAAACUUAGCGGCGGACGGGUGCGUAACGCGUGGGUAAUCUGCCCUUAUCACUGGGAUAACACAUCGAAAGGUGUGCUAAUACCAGAUAAAAUCAAAUCUUGGCAUCAAGAAUUGAUCAAAGAACUUCGGAUAAGGAUGAGCCUGCGUCUGAUUAGCUAGUUGGUGGGGUAAUGGCCUACCAAGGCGACGAUCAGUAGCCGACCUGAGAGGGUGAUCGGCCACACUGGAACUGAGACACGGUCCAACUCCUACGGGAGGCACAGUGGGGAAUAUUGCACAAUGGGCGAAAGCCUGAUGCACAACCCGCGUGAGUGAUGAAGGCUUUCGGGUCGUAAAACUCUGUUCUAAGGGAAGAUAAUGACGGUACCUUA
Molecule: ribosomal RNA, 399 nt
Filed under: uncultured bacterium
Lineage: Bacteria
Description: bacterial SSU rRNA
Rfam family: Bacterial small subunit ribosomal RNA
Source: RNAcentral